RNAcentral lists this transfer RNA (79 nucleotides) under Streptomyces roseolilacinus. RNAcentral's name for it is "tRNA-Gly". Lineage: Bacteria; Bacillati; Actinomycetota; Actinomycetes; Kitasatosporales; Streptomycetaceae. The record is from RNAcentral.
CGCCGCGCCGGGGCGGGCCCGCGCGGCCCCGGCGGCCGUCCGCGCCGCGAACCGCGCCGGGUCCUCCGGCAGCGGCGGC